GUAGGUGGGUUUGUAAGUCAGAUGUGAAAGCCUUCUGUUCAACGGAAGAAUUGCAUCUGAAACUACAAAUCUUGAGUAUAGGAGGGGAGAGUGGAACUUCUGGUGGAGCGGUGAAAUGCGUAGAUAUCAGAAGGAACGCCGGCGGCGAAAGCGACUCUCUGGCCUAUUACUGACACUGAGUGUGCGAAAGCUAGGGGAGCAAACGGGAUUAGAUACCCCGGUAGUCCUAGCCGUAAACGAUGGGCACUAAGUAG
This 254-nucleotide ribosomal RNA is filed under the name uncultured Planctomycetota bacterium. Its description in RNAcentral is "uncultured planctomycete partial 16S ribosomal RNA". It matches the Rfam family "Bacterial small subunit ribosomal RNA", at positions 571 to 823 of the family's 1533-position model. The record is from RNAcentral. Lineage: Bacteria; Pseudomonadati; Planctomycetota.